AGCCCUAUCGUCUAGUGGUCAAGGAUAGCGCCCUCUGAAGGCGCGGACGGGUGUUCAAAUCACCCUGGGGCUA
Molecule: transfer RNA, 73 nt
Rfam family: tRNA
About the family: Transfer RNA (tRNA) molecules are approximately 80 nucleotides in length. Their secondary structure includes four short double-helical elements and three loops (D, anti-codon, and T loops).